GACGAACGCUGGCGGCGUGCCUAAUACAUGCAAGUAGAACGCUGAAGGAGGAGCUUGCUUCUCUGGAUGAGUUGCGAACGGGUGAGUAACGCGUAGGUAACCUGCCUGGUAGCGGGGGAUAACUAUUGGAAACGAUAGCUAAUACCGCAUAAUAGCAGUUAUUGCAUGAUAACUGUUUGAAAGGUGCAAUUGCACCACUACCAGAUGGACCUGCGUUGUAUGAGCUAGUUGGUGGGGUAACGGCUCACCAAGGCGACGAUACAUAGCCGACCUGAGAGGGGGGUCGGCCACCCUGGGACUGGGACCCGGCCCAGACUCCUACGGGAGGCAGCAGUAGGGCAUCUUCGGCCAUGGACGGAAGUCUGACCGCGCUACGCCGCGUGCGUGAAGAAGGUUUUCGGGUCGUAAAGCUCUGUUGUCAGAGAAGAACGCGUGUGAGAGUGGAACGUUCACACUGUGACGGUAUCUUACCAGAAAGGGACGGCUAACUACGUG
Molecule: ribosomal RNA, 495 nt
Filed under: uncultured bacterium
Lineage: Bacteria
Description: partial 16S ribosomal RNA
Rfam family: Bacterial small subunit ribosomal RNA
Source: RNAcentral